UUUCGAGAGGGAAGGAAGGAUUGUUGUAUUGUAGGGCUGCGAGCUAAUUAGGGCUUUGUGUCUAUACUUCUAACCUUGCGUAGAUAUUGUUGAUUAUUGUAG
Priapulus caudatus is the source of this 102-nucleotide long non-coding RNA. RefSeq lists it as uncharacterized. Lineage: Eukaryota; Metazoa; Priapulida; Priapulimorpha; Priapulimorphida; Priapulidae. The record is from RefSeq and is a predicted model, not a curated record. The transcript has 3 exons.